UUGACUGGCUUUACUCUCCAAAGUGGUCUGUUGAUCUGAGUGCUCAGUAUUUCUGUACAUAGCUCUUUUAUGUUCUGAUGUGUAUAGUGCACAAAUUAACUUUUCAUUCAGGACGUGUAUUUCUAGGCACAUCCCGGGUAUGGAAAUCCUUUGGGCUACAUGCUGGAAGUGAGGCCCAGUUUCUGUGGCACGCUGCCACAUCUCUUUUGAUUAGGAAGCUAACGGCUGGAUAACUUCUGAAAACAGGAAGAGAUGUGUGGGAAAGCUUCCAACACUGAUCGCAAAAUGGCUGCCGCUUCACCUCACUUGCAGCAGUCUGGAAGCCAACAAGAACAGGAAAAGCAUUUUGGUGAAGGACUUCAGCUGGCUGAGCACACCAAGUGGGAUGUUUCAUUGGGAAAGAAAAAGGGAUAAAGGAAAGGCUUCUCAAGACCUCUGAAUGGAGUUCAUAAAUUACUGGAUUCCUAACUGCUCCCACAGACUCAUCUGGACUUUAAGUGCAGCCAAGUCUCUAUCUGCACCACAGUGGAACUCACUCUUCUGAUAAAAUUUGGAAAGUACCUCACACUGAUAAAUUAAAAAUCCAUCCUCAUGGUUGCCCUUAAUAGUCAUAUGUUGUUUAAAUAUACUGUGCAAACUGUGACUCCUUAGAACAAUUACACAGAUCAGUUGCCUAUAUUUCUUUAUAAACAGUACUGAGAUUAAUUCGUUGGAAUGGCUUCCUUUGCUUUGCCUCUGAUGUCAUGAAAAUGCUAUUACUAGCCUUUCCUUGGACAGAAUAAACAAGCAUAUCUGAUAUGCAAGCUAAUAUAAUGUCCUUUAUUUACAUGAUUGUAAAUCCUGUUAGCUCUAAAACCAUUUUGAAUAUAGAAAAGAGCCAAAAAUGAGAAUAACAAAGGAGAGAAGUGACCUCAGUGAUUCUAUGCUGACGUAUCUUCGGCCUCAGAACUGGCAUGGGAAGGUUGUGUUAUCA
Molecule: non-coding RNA, 973 nt
Organism: Coturnix japonica (Japanese quail)
Lineage: Eukaryota; Metazoa; Chordata; Aves; Galliformes; Phasianidae
Source: RefSeq, a predicted model, not a curated record